UCGAUUACAUGUUAUGAGUUUCUCGAUGC
RNAcentral lists this small RNA (29 nucleotides) under Bombyx mori (domestic silkworm). Its description in RNAcentral is "ovarian small RNA-28516". The record is from RNAcentral. Lineage: Eukaryota; Metazoa; Arthropoda; Insecta; Lepidoptera; Bombycidae.